Molecule: unclassified non-coding RNA, 233 nt
Filed under: Hevea brasiliensis (rubber tree)
Lineage: Eukaryota; Viridiplantae; Streptophyta; Magnoliopsida; Malpighiales; Euphorbiaceae
Source: RNAcentral
GCGAAGGCAAUUUUGUAUUCAUAUAAUUGACGUCAAGCUCAUUUGCAUGUGCAUUGGCCCGAAGGGCAGGCGCAGGAAGAGCCGCAGCUGCAGGAGCACCCGGGACCCAUAAUGACAGAUGUGAUUUGGUGUCUAACGAGACUUAAUUGUAUUCGAGGAAGCUUGUGUGCGUGUAAUAUGUGUGACUGGCUUCUUGAAGGAUGCGCGAAGGCAAUUUUGUAUUCAUAUAAUUG